ACUUUUUACUACUCCUACUUCUCACUAUCUCCACUGCCACCACUUUGAUCUGAGCCACUCCGUCCUGGAUUAUUCUAAUAGUCUCCAGCCUACUCUCC
Sapajus apella (tufted capuchin) is the source of this 98-nucleotide long non-coding RNA. RefSeq lists it as uncharacterized. The record is from RefSeq and is a predicted model, not a curated record. Lineage: Eukaryota; Metazoa; Chordata; Mammalia; Primates; Cebidae. The transcript has 3 exons.